RNAcentral lists this unclassified non-coding RNA (344 nucleotides) under soil metagenome. RNAcentral's name for it is "partial contains 5.8S ribosomal RNA, internal transcribed spacer 2, and large subunit ribosomal RNA". The stretch from base 1 to 120 matches the Rfam family "5.8S ribosomal RNA", at positions 35 to 154 of the family's 154-position model. The record is from RNAcentral.
GAUGAAGAACGCAGUGAAAUGCGAUACGUAGUGUGAAUUGCAGAAUUCAGUGAAUCAUCGAAUCUUUGAACGCACAUUGCGCCCUUUGGUAUUCCAAAGGGCAUGCCUGUUCGAGCGUCAUUUGUACCCUCAAGCUUUGCUUGGUGUUGGGCGUUUUUGUCUUUGGCCCGCCAAAGACUCGCCUUAAAAUGAUUGGCAGCCGGCCUACUGGUUUCGCAGCGCAGCACAUUUUUGCGCUUGCAAUCAGCAAAAGAGGACGGCAAUCCAUCAAGACUCCUUCUCACGUUUGACCUCGGAUCAGGUAGGGAUACCCGCUGAACUUAAGCAUAUCAAUAAGCGGAGGA